This 492-nucleotide ribosomal RNA is filed under the name uncultured bacterium. RNAcentral's name for it is "partial 16S ribosomal RNA". It matches the Rfam family "Bacterial small subunit ribosomal RNA", at positions 29 to 507 of the family's 1533-position model. The record is from RNAcentral.
AGUGAACGCUGGCGGUAGGCCUAACACAUGCAAGUCGAACGGCAGCACAGUAAGAGCUUGCUCUUACGGGUGGCGAGUGGCGGACGGGUGAGGAAUACAUCGGAAUCUACUUUUUCGUGGGGGAUAACGUAGGGAAACUUACGCUAAUACCGCAUACGACCUACGGGUGAAAUCAGGGGAUCUUCGGACCUUGCGCGAUUGAAUGAGCCGAUGUCGGAUUAGCUAGUUGGCGGGGUAAAGGCCCACCAAGGCGACGAUCCGUACCUGGUCUGAGAGGAUGAUCAGCCACACUGGAACUGAGACACGGUACAGACUCCUACGGGAAGCAGCAGUGGGGAAAAUUGGACAAUGGGCGCAAGCCUGAUCCAGCCAUACCGCGUGAGUGAAGAAGGCCUUCGGGUUGUAAAGCCCUGUUGUUGGGAAAGAAAAGCAGCAGGUUAAUACCCCGCUGUUCUGACGGUACCCAAAGAAUAAGCACCGGCUAACUUCGUG